AUACGUUCGCCUCAACUCAUGGGGUGCAUCAAAUGGAAGUAGGGAACGGGAUUUCCAG
Molecule: non-coding RNA, 58 nt
Submitted as: unclassified sequences
Source: Rfam